RNAcentral lists this long non-coding RNA (504 nucleotides) under Olea europaea subsp. europaea. Lineage: Eukaryota; Viridiplantae; Streptophyta; Magnoliopsida; Lamiales; Oleaceae. The record is from RNAcentral.
GUCCAACUUAAUAAUUAGGGAGAUGCAUAGGUUAUUAAAAGGAAGUAUGGACUAUGGUGUCAAAAUGAAAGGCCAGGGCCCUAACCCAAAAUGCAACAUCAUUAAGGACCAGCAGCUUGACUGAAGUCCAAAUAUUUCACCUCGAAAAGUGAACCCUUAACACUAGGACAACCAUGGAGAGUGAGGUGGCAGGUGAAUCGGGUGAUGAAGGAAGCAGAAAACCCUAAGACAUCCUUUCUAAAAAUUCAAUGAAUUAGACGUUAAUCUCGUGGCUGCAGGCGAAGAAUUUUUUGACAAGAAUAAAGAUAUUUGGAAACAAAUAACAUUUACGAAAUACAUAUAUGUAAUGGUGACAAGGAUGGGCUGAGUCAUAGGACUACAUUAACUCCUUUCAUUUGGGAACAUGGUUAGAAUGGAAACUUGAAGAAUAUAUCUAUAGACGAAGAUCAAAUUGCAAAAGAUAAGGAAAUUUCAAAACUCUUGAACCGGUAAAACCAAGUUCAG